This 497-nucleotide ribosomal RNA is filed under the name uncultured bacterium. Its description in RNAcentral is "partial 16S ribosomal RNA". It matches the Rfam family "Bacterial small subunit ribosomal RNA", at positions 28 to 507 of the family's 1533-position model. The record is from RNAcentral.
GAUGAACGCUGGCGGCGUGCCUAAUACAUGCAAGUCGAGCGAACAGGCGAGGAGCUUGCUCCUCUGACGUUAGCGGCGGACGUGUGAGUAACGCGUGGAUCACCUACCUAUAUGACUGGGAUCACUUCGGGAAUCCGGCGCUAAUCCCGGAUAAUAUAUUGCUCCGUAUUGUUCAAUAGUGAGAGACGGCUUUUCUGUCACUUCUAGCUGGAUCCGCGCCGCAUUAGCUAGUUGGUAAGGUAACGGCUUACCACGGCAACGAGGCGUAGCCGACCGGAGAGGGGGGUCGGCCACACGGGAACGGAGACGCGGUCCAGACGCCUGCGGGAGGGAGCAGUAGGGAAUCGGCCGCAAUGGGCGGAAGCUUGACGGAACAACGCCGCGUGAGUGAUGGAGGUGUUCGGAUCGUAAAACUCUGUUAUUAGGGAAGAACAAAUGUGGAAGUAACUAUGCACGGCUUGACGGUACCUAAUCAGAAAGCAACGGCUAACUACGUG